AACCAGCACCUCAAGUGGUCAGGAGGAUUAUUGGGCCUAAAGCAUCCGUAGCCGGCUCUGUAAGUUUUCGGUUAAAUCCAUGUGCUCAACGCAUGGGCUGCCGAAAAUACUGCAUAGCUAGGGAGUGGGAGAGGUAGACGGUACUCGGUAGGAAGGGGUAAAAUCCUUUGAUCUAUCGAUGACCACCUGUGGCGAAGGCGACUCACUGGACAGUUAUUGACGCUGAGGUGCGAAAGCGUGGGGAGCAAACAGG
This 253-nucleotide ribosomal RNA is filed under the name uncultured archaeon. RNAcentral describes it as "partial 16S ribosomal RNA". It matches the Rfam family "Archaeal small subunit ribosomal RNA", at positions 474 to 727 of the family's 1478-position model. The record is from RNAcentral.